AGGGAAUCUUCCGCAAUGGACGCAAGUCUGACGGAGCAACGCCGCGUGAGUGAAGAAGGUUUUCGGAUCGUAAAACUCUGUUGUUAGAGAAGAACAAGUGCUAGAGUAACUGUUAGCGCCUUGACGGUAUCUAACCAGAAAGCCACGGCUAACUACGUGCCAGCAGCCGCGGUAAUACGUAGGUGGCAAGCGUUGUCCGGAUUUAUUGGGCGUAAAGCGAGCGCAGGCGGUUAGAUAAGUCUGAAGUUAAAGGCUGUGGCUUAACCAUAGUACGCUUUGGAAACUGUUUAACUUGAGUGCAGAAGGGGAGAGUGGAAUUCCAUGUGUAGCGGUGAAAUGCGUAGAUAUAUGGAGGAACACCGGUGGCGAAAGCGGCUCUCUGGCUUGUAACUGACGCUGAGGCUCGAAAGCGUGGGGAGCAAACAGGAUUAGAUACCCUGGUAGUCCACGCCGUAAACGAUGAGUGCUAGGUGUUAGACCCUUUCCGGGGUUUAGUGCCGUAGCUAACGCAUUAAGCACUCCGCCUGGGGAGUACGACCGCAAGGUUG
RNAcentral lists this ribosomal RNA (548 nucleotides) under uncultured bacterium. Its description in RNAcentral is "bacterial SSU rRNA". It matches the Rfam family "Bacterial small subunit ribosomal RNA", at positions 356 to 896 of the family's 1533-position model. The record is from RNAcentral.